GCCAAGUUUUAUCAAAAUGUUCUCUAAAUUUUCAUGCAUUUUUCACUGAGGUAAUUUUGUGUAAUUAGUACAGGAAAUCUAAGGAAAGCAUCCCUUGAUUUCUGCAAUUGCCAGAAAUACUCCACAAGAAACAGAAGCCUUGGUGCUAUGGCAUGAGAUAAUACAAAGAGAUACCAUUCACGCAAAAGACCGAAAGGAGCUGGUCCCUCCACAGAGCUCCGCUUGAUCUGACACGGGUGACAGAAACGGUAAAAGCGGGCUAUUUCCAUUGGAUGGUCUCCAGAAAUGAAAUCAGAGCACAGCAUUGUGAUUAGUCAGCUCAUACGGCGAAUUCCCAGUUUCAAUCCAGGGAGUUUUCUGGCCAGGAUGAAGCGAGCACAUCUUCCCAUGGAAAGGCUCAUCCAGCACCAAUGUUAUCUCCAGGUCAACCAGGUCAGAAAAUAA
This 444-nucleotide long non-coding RNA is filed under the name Anser brachyrhynchus (Pink-footed goose). Its description in RNAcentral is "lncRNA (ENSABRG00000010970.1)". The record is from RNAcentral. Lineage: Eukaryota; Metazoa; Chordata; Aves; Anseriformes; Anatidae.